CGCACACCCGAGUGUAUGGCCGCACACCCAUCCUCCAGCCGCACACUCAUCCCUAUUUAUAUAGGGUGACCCCUUCACUCAUUCCUUUCAUUUGGUUGGACCAUGCAUGAUGGUUUUUUUCGUCAUCCGACAUGUAACACACUUGCCCACUGUGUUGGUUACAUCCCUAACAUCUUUAGCCCAGAAGAAAUGUUCUUAAAGCACCUUCAAAGUUUUGGUAAUGGAAAAAUGACCCGCCAAACCACCACCAUGAGCUUCACGAAUAAGCAACUCCCGUAUUGCAUGUUUAGGGACACAAAUGUGAUUGCCUUUUGAUGCCUUUAUGGGCUUGAUUAAGUGAGUAGGGCCGUGUUUAGGUAAAUUAAGCUACAAUAACAACCAAAAAUGAUAGGUGUAUGGGAAGAAAUGGAUCGAUUAGUAACAAAUCAAGACCUACUAUGUUGUAUACUUGUGAAAACUAUCCAAGACAUAAUAUUUCUCUGAAUGCGUAUCAAGUCAAGAACAUGUCUCGACUAUGACAAAUAAUGAACUAUAACUAUAAUUCAAACUGAACAAAGGUUCUUUUGAUUAAAAUUUCGUCUAUCUCUUUUUUCCAUGCAUAAUUUGGCUUAUAUGAAGCCUUUAUUACAAAGUUGGUGGUUACAAGCCACCCAACCAACUACUCAGUUAAACUAAUAAUGAAAAUUAAAGAAACUCAUGAAACUACACAAAAAAACGUCUAAAAAACUAAUGAAUGAAAAAAGCAUCCACGUUCCAUUAAGGAGAAAAAAAGAAGCAAUAAAGUGUAACCCAAAUCCACUAAAGAGUAUCAAUAAGGGAUACAAGGCUUGAUGAAGAAAAAAGUAACGGUUUUGAGCACUUAUGAAGCCUUUAAAAUGUUGCACUAGCGUUCACGCGACCUUAAUUCAAUACGUAGGUUACCAUGCACAACCCAACCAUUAAGUACAAACCACCUUCUAGCCUACUAGUAAUCACUAAUCCAUCACCUUUUUCGGCUUUUCAUGAUCCAUCCAUGGAUCCUCCCCUCCCCCUUUGAAAGGAAAUGACCUUAAUUCAUCAAGUCCAUACUCAACAAGAUACGGUGAAAGGUCUCCCACAUUAAAGGUAGCAUGCACUCCAUGGUCUCCUCCCAGAUCCACCUUAUAAGCAUUAUCAUUGACAUGUGUCACCACUUUGUAAGGACCUUCAGCUCUUGGCAUCAACUUUUGUUCUUCCUUUUGUUAGGAAAACGUUCUUUCCUCAUAUGCACCUAAACCAGGUCACUAUCUUGAAAGACAUGUGGUGUCCUAUGCAUGUUGGAAUUCUGUUAGUACACGUCAUUCACGGCUUCAAUCUUCACAAACUUGUUGGCGUAGUUUCACCAUUGCCUUCAACUUGUCAUUAGCAUCCUUGUGAACCAAUUUAUCGUUUUGAAAUGGAAUCAAAUACAAAGGCUUGUAAGGAUUCACACCAUACACCACUUACAAAGGCUUGUAAGGACCUUCAGCUCUUGGCAUCAACUUUUGUUCUUCCUUUUGUUAGGAAAACGUUAUUUCCUCAUGUGCACCUAAACCAAGUCACCAUUUUGAAAGACACGUGGUUUCCUAUGUAUGUUGGAAUUCUAUUUGUACACGUCAUUCACGGCUUCAAUCUUCAGACGAACUUGUUGGUGUAGUUUCAACAUGGCCUUCAACUUGUCAUUAGCAUCCUUGUGAACCAAUUCAUCGUUUGGAAAUGGAAUCAAAUACAAUGGAUUGUAAGGAUUCACACCAUACACCACUUAUAAAGGAGUGACCUAUAGCAUAAGUAGGAGAAUGAUUACUCGUAAACUCAGCAUGUGUAAGUUUGAUGUCCAACUGUUUUUGAGUUUUGCUAACCAACCCCCUCAACAACGUACCCAAAGUUCUAUUAGUCACCUUCGUUUGCCCAUCAGUUUGUGGUUGAUGGGACGUACUAAAAAGUAACUUAGUACCAACUUUCCUCCACAAAGUGUUCCAAAUUUAACUCAAAAACAAGGUUUCCCUAUCAGAAACAAUAGUUUUAGGAAUAAUAUGCAAGCGAACCACUUCUUUAAAGUACAAAUCAGACACAUUAGAUAAAUCAUUGGUUUUAUGACAUGGCAUAAAGUGAGCCAUUUUUAAAAACCUAUCCACCACCACUAUAAUGGAUUCCUUUCCCCCUUUGAAUUCUAGGCAAAGCCAUACUGAAUUCCAUUGACACAUCAUGCCAAGGACGAAUAGGAACCGACAAAGGAGUGUAAACACCAUGCAUGAUGGUUUUUUUCGUCAUCCGACAUGUAACACACUUGCCCACUAUGUUGGUUACAUCCCUAACAUCUUUAGGCCAGAAGAAAUGUUCUUAAAGCACCUUCAAAGUUUUGGUAAUGGAAAAAUGACCCGCCAAACCACCACCAUGAGCUUCACGAAUCAGCAACUCCCGUAUUGCAUGUUUAGGGACACAAAUGUGAUUGCCUUUUGAUGCCUUUAUGGGCUUGAUUAAGUGAGUAGGGCCGUGUUUAGGUAAAUUAAGCUACAAUAACAACCACAAAUGAUAGGUGUAUGGGAAGAAAUGGAUCGAUUAGUAACAAAUCAAGACCUACUAUGUUGUAUACUUGUGAAAACUAUCCAAGACAUAAUAUUUCUCUGAAUGCGUAUCAAGUCAAGAACAUGUCUCGACUAUGACAAAUAAUGAACUAUAACUAUAAUUCAAACUGAACAAAGGUUCUUUUGAUUAAAAUUUCGUCUAUCUCUUUUUUCCAUGCAUAAUUUGGCUUAUAUGAAGCCUUUAUUACAAAGUUGGUGGUUACAAGCCACCCAACCAACUACUCAGUUAAACUAAUAAUGAAAAUUAAAGAAACUCAUGAAACCACACAAAAAAACGUCUGAAACACUAAUGAAUGAAAAAAGCAUCCAUGUUCCAUUAAGGAGAAAAAAGAGGCAAUAAAGUGUAACCCAAAUCCACUAAAGAGUAUCAAUAAGGGAUACAAGGCUUGAUGAAGAAAAAAGUAACGGUUUUGAGCACUUAUGAAGCCUUUAAAAUGUUGCCCUAGCGUUCACGCGACCUUAAUUCAAUACGUAGGUUACCAUGCACAACCCAACCAUUAAGUACAAACCACCUUCUAGCCUACUAGUAAUCACUAAUCCAUCACCUUUUUCGGCUUUUCAUGAUCCAUCCAUGGAUCCUCCCCUCCCCCUUUGAAAGGAAAUGACCUUAAUUCAUCAAGUCCAUACUCAACAAGAUACGGUGAAAGGUCUCCCACAUUAAAGGUAGCAUGCACUCCAUGGUCUCCUCCCAGAUCCACCUUAUAAGCAUUAUCAUUGACAUGUGUCACCACUUUGUAAGGACCUUCAGCUCUUGGCAUCAACUUUUGUUCUUCCUUUUGUUAGGAAAACGUUCUUUCCUCAUAUGCACCUAAACCAGGUCACUAUCUUGAAAGACAUGUGGUGUCCUAUGCAUGUUGGAAUUCUGUUAGUACACGUCAUUCACGGCUUCAAUCUUCACAAACUUGUUGGCGUAGUUUCACCAUUGCCUUCAACUUGUCAUUAGCAUCCUUGUGAACCAAUUUAUCGUUUUGAAAUGGAAUCAAAUACAAAGGCUUGUAAGGAUUCACACCAUACACCACUUACAAAGGCUUGUAAGGACCUUCAGCUCUUGGCAUCAACUUUUGUUCUUCCUUUUGUUAGGAAAACGUUAUUUCCUCAUGUGCACCUAAACCAAGUCACCAUUUUGAAAGACACGUGGUUUCCUAUGUAUGUUGGAAUUCUAUUUGUACACGUCAUUCACGGCUUCAAUCUUCAGACGAACUUGUUGGUGUAGUUUCAACAUGGCCUUCAACUUGUCAUUAGCAUCCUUGUGAACCAAUUCAUCGUUUGGAAAUGGAAUCAAAUACAAUGGAUUGUAAGGAUUCACACCAUACACCACUUAUAAAGGAGUGACCUAUAGCAUAAGUAGGAGAAUGAUUACUCGUAAACUCAGCAUGUGUAAGUUUGAUGUCCAACUGUUUUUGAGUUUUGCUAACCAACCCCCUCAACAACGUACCCAAAGUUCUAUUAGUCACCUUCGUUUGCCCAUCAGUUUGUGGUUGAUGGGACGUACUAAAAAGUAACUUAGUACCAACUUUCCUCCACAAAGUGUUCCAAAUUUAACUCAAAAACAAGGAAUCCCUAUCAGAAACAAUAGUUUUAGGAAUAAUAUGCAAGCGAACCACUUCUUUAAAGUACAAAUCAGACACAUUAGAUAAAUCAUUGGUUUUAUGACAUGGCAUAAAGUGAGCCAUUUUUAAAAACCUAUCCACCACCACUAUAAUGGAUUCCUUUCCCCCUUUGAAUUCUAGGCAAAGCCAUACUGAAUUCCAUUGACACAUCAUGCCAAGGACGAAUAGGAACCGACAAAGGAGUGUAAACACCAUGCAUGAUGGUUUUUUUCGUCAUCCGACAUGUAACACACUUGCCCACUAUGUUGGUUACAUCCCUAACAUCUUUAGGCCAGAAGAAAUGUUCUUAAAGCACCUUCAAAGUUUUGGUAAUGGAAAAAUGACCCGCCAAACCACCACCAUGAGCUUCACGAAUCAGCAACUCCCGUAUUGCAUGUUUAGGGACACAAAUGUGAUUGCC
Molecule: long non-coding RNA, 4592 nt
Filed under: Lactuca sativa (garden lettuce)
Lineage: Eukaryota; Viridiplantae; Streptophyta; Magnoliopsida; Asterales; Asteraceae
Description: long non-coding RNA (LSAT_LNC010325)
Source: RNAcentral